CACAUUUGUAGUCAUCUCUGAUCAACACAUUUGGUAUCCAUUACAGUGUUAGUGUUUGGGAUGCCGUGCACACGUCACGCAGAAAGGAGAGUAGCGAUGGAAGAGGUUUCCAUGGUUACAGCUCGCAAGUUUUUACAGCAUCUGACAGCUCAGGGUGGUAACUGCUAAUGUUACAGAUAACAAGUUUAAUUUGCUCCCUGACUAAGCAGUUAUGUAACGCUGGGUGAUACUUGUAUGUCAGCCAGAGGGUCAUGUGGUUGUAAAAGCAUUUCUGAAGAUGACGGCAUAACUUUAUUGGCUUUUGAUCAUGCAAUUUAUCUGAUUUAUGACCUCUGUGGUUGUUAUUUCCACACAGUUUUAUGGCUUUGUUUUGUAUUCGCACAAAGAAGGUUCAGAGCUUAGGAAAAAUGGAAACAUUUGUCUGUAAUUCUUGACUUUAAUGUUGCAUAAAAUUUGGCCAACAGGGAUAAAAACAUCUAAGACAUCCCUUACCUCCAAAUGUCAAUCUUUAUGCUUGCUGUGUCGAGAAACAUGUGUAACAUGUAACCAAUCAUGUUAAAUAAAUACUUCAGUUUAUAAAUGAAUUAAUGAAUGAUUAACAAAAUGCGUAAAAUCAUAUGGCAUGUUUUGCUGCAAGGGGGAAAUUUGCAUCACCGAGCAACAUAAAUUAGAAUAAAUAAACAAAUAGAUAGAUAAAAUAAAAAGCUCAUGUGGCAUACUUUGUUUUUUGUUCGUUUGUUUUUGUUGUGUUUU
Molecule: non-coding RNA, 753 nt
Organism: Xyrichtys novacula (pearly razorfish)
Lineage: Eukaryota; Metazoa; Chordata; Actinopteri; Labriformes; Labridae
Source: the annotation of a GenBank genome assembly